RNAcentral lists this ribosomal RNA (380 nucleotides) under uncultured eukaryote. Its description in RNAcentral is "partial 18S ribosomal RNA". It matches the Rfam family "Eukaryotic small subunit ribosomal RNA", at positions 592 to 976 of the family's 1831-position model. The record is from RNAcentral.
CAAUAGCGUAUAUUAAAGUUGUUGCGGUUAAAAAGCUCGUAGUUGGAUUUCUGCCGAGGACGACCGGUCCGCCCUCCGGGUGAGUAUCUGGCUCGGCCUGGGCAUCUUCUUGGAGAACGUAGCUGCACUUGGCUGUGUGGUGCGGUAUUCAGGACUUUUACUUUGAGGAAAUUAGAGUGUUUCAAGCAGGCACACGCCUUGAAUACAUUAGCAUGGAAUAAUAAGAUAGGACCUCGGUUCUAUUUUGUUGGUUUCUAGAUCUGAGGUAAUGAUUAAUAGGGAUAGUUGGGGGCAUUCGUAUUUAACUGUCAGAGGCGAAAUUCUUGGAUUUGUUAAAGACGGACUACUGCGAAAGCAUUUGCCAAGGAUGUUUUCAUUGA